GGAUUCCCCUAGUAACGGCGAGUGAAGCGGGAAAAGCUCAAAUUUAAAAUCUGGCGGUCUACGGUCGUCCGAGUUGUAGUCUAGAGAGGUGUUUUCCGUGCCGGACCAUGCACAAGUCCCUUGGAACAGGGCGUCAUAGAGGGUGAGAAUCCCGUCCGUGGCAUGGACUCCCGGUGCUCUGUGAUGCGCCUUCGAAGAGUCGAGUUGUUUGGGAAUGCAGCUCAAAACGGGUGGUAAAUUCCAUCUAAAGCUAAAUACAGGCGAGAGACCGAUAGCGAACAAGUACCGUGAGGGAAAGAUGAAAAGCACUUUGGAAAGAGAGUUAAACAGUACGUGAAAUUGUUGAAAGGGAAACGCUUGGAGUCAGUCGCGUUUGCCGGGACUCAGCCUUGCUUUUGCUUGGUGCACUUCCUGGUACACGGGCCAGCAUCGAUUUCGAUCGCCGGAAAAAGGCUUGGGGAAGGUGGCACCUCCGGGUGUGUUAUAGCCCCUCGUUGUAUACGGUGGUUGGGAUUGAGGACCGCAGCACGCCUUUUGGUCGGGGUUCGCCCACGCCACGUGCUUAGGAUGCUGGCGUAAUGGCUUUAAACGACCCGUCUUGAAACACGGACCAAGGAGUCUAACAUGCCUGCGAGUGUUUGGGUGUAAAACCCAGGCGCGUAAUGAAAGUGAAAGGUUGGGACUCUUCGCUGAGGCACCGACGCCCGAUCCUGACGUUCUCCGACGGAUUUGAGGUAGAGCAUGUAUGUUGGGACCCGAAAGAUGGUGAACUAUGCCUGAAUAGGGGCGAAAGCCAGAGGAAACUCUGGUGGAGGCUCGUAGCGAUUCUGACGUGCAAAUCGAUCGUCAAAUUUGGGUAUAGGGGCGAAAGACU
RNAcentral lists this ribosomal RNA (874 nucleotides) under unidentified. Its description in RNAcentral is "Pseudohydnum sp. HOB-2022e partial large subunit ribosomal RNA". It matches the Rfam family "Eukaryotic large subunit ribosomal RNA", at positions 72 to 932 of the family's 3401-position model. The record is from RNAcentral.